RNAcentral lists this ribosomal RNA (253 nucleotides) under uncultured bacterium. Its description in RNAcentral is "partial 16S ribosomal RNA". It matches the Rfam family "Bacterial small subunit ribosomal RNA", at positions 524 to 776 of the family's 1533-position model. The record is from RNAcentral.
UACGAAGGGGGCUAGCGUUGUUCGGAAUUACUGGGCGUAAAGCGUGCGCAGGCGGCUCAUCAAGUCAGAGGUGAAAGCCCAGGGCUCAACCCUGGAACUGCCUUUGAAACUGUUGGGCUUGAGUACGGGAGAGGUGAGUGGAAUUCCGAGUGUAGAGGUGAAAUUCGUAGAUAUUCGGAAGAACACCGGUGGCGAAGGCGGCGACCUGGUCCUUUACUGACGCUGAGGCGCGAAAGCGUGGGGAGCAAGCAGG